GGUGUUGUGGCUCAGUGGUAGAGCGCUCAUCUAUCAUGUGCAAGGCCCUGGGUUUGAUCCUCAGCACCACAU
This 72-nucleotide transfer RNA is filed under the name Ictidomys tridecemlineatus (thirteen-lined ground squirrel). Its description in RNAcentral is "Spermophilus tridecemlineatus (thirteen-lined ground squirrel) tRNA". It matches the Rfam family "tRNA". From Rfam's summary of the family: Transfer RNA (tRNA) molecules are approximately 80 nucleotides in length. Their secondary structure includes four short double-helical elements and three loops (D, anti-codon, and T loops). Lineage: Eukaryota; Metazoa; Chordata; Mammalia; Rodentia; Sciuridae. The record is from Rfam by way of RNAcentral.